AAGGAUCAUCAACAGAGGGAAAAAGUAAUUUUUUCCCGAAAUCCUGUAUUCACCCCAAGUUCCUUUAAAACUUUUAAUAAAAACUUGUAAAAAGACCACCUCUGUCUGGUGGCGCAUAAUACAUUGCGAAAACUUUCAACAACGGAUCUCUUGGCUCUC
RNAcentral lists this unclassified non-coding RNA (159 nucleotides) under uncultured fungus. Its description in RNAcentral is "partial contains 18S rRNA, ITS1, 5.8S rRNA, ITS2 and 28S rRNA". Lineage: Eukaryota; Fungi. The record is from RNAcentral.